This 392-nucleotide ribosomal RNA is filed under the name uncultured bacterium. RNAcentral's name for it is "partial 16S ribosomal RNA". It matches the Rfam family "Bacterial small subunit ribosomal RNA", at positions 523 to 918 of the family's 1533-position model. The record is from RNAcentral.
AUACGGAGGAUCCGAGCGUUAUCCGGAUUUACUGGGUUUAAAGGGUGCGCAGGCGGGAGAUUAAGUCGGCGGUGAAAUUUGCAGCUCAACUGUAAAAGUGCCUUCGAAACUGGUUUCCUUGAGUGUAGAUGAAGUAGGCGGAAUUUGUGGUGUAGCGGUGAAAUGCAUAGAUAUCACGAGGAACUCCGAUUGCGCAGGCAGCUUACUAAACUACUACUGACGCUCAGGCACGAAGGCGUGGGGAUCAAACAGGAUUAGAUACCCUGGUAGUCCACGCAGUAAACGAUGAUUACUAGCUGUUUGCGACACAAUGUAAGCGGCUGAGCGAAAGCGUUAAGUAAUCCACCUGGGGAGUACGUUCGCAAGAAUGAAACUCAAAUGAAUUGACGGGG